This 486-nucleotide ribosomal RNA is filed under the name uncultured bacterium. RNAcentral describes it as "partial 16S ribosomal RNA". It matches the Rfam family "Bacterial small subunit ribosomal RNA", at positions 30 to 507 of the family's 1533-position model. The record is from RNAcentral.
AUUUAACGCUGGCGGCAUGCCUUACACAUGCAAGUCGAACGGCAGCACGGGUGCUUGCACCUGGUGGCGAGUGGCGAACGGGUGAGUAAUACAUCGGAACAUGUCCUGUAGUGGGGGAUAGCCCGGCGAAAGCCGGAUUAAUACCGCAUACGAUCUACGGAUGAAAGCGGGGGACCUGCGGGCCUCGCGCUAUAGGGUUGGCCGAUGGCUGAUUAGCUAGUUGGUGGGGUAAAGGCCUACCAAGGCGACGAUCAGUAGCUGGUCUGAGAGGACGACCAGCCACACUGGGACUGAGACACGGCCCAGACUCCUACGGGAGGCAGCAGUGGGGAAUUUUGGACAAUGGGCGAAAGCCUGAUCCAGCAAUGCCGCGUGUGUGAAGAAGGCCUUCGGGUUGUAAAGCACUUUUGUCCGGAAAGAAAUCCUUGGCCCUAAUACGGUCGGGGGAUGACGGUACCGGAAGAAUAAGCACCGGCUAACUACGUG